Molecule: ribosomal RNA, 1022 nt
Filed under: Vibrio parahaemolyticus
Lineage: Bacteria; Pseudomonadati; Pseudomonadota; Gammaproteobacteria; Vibrionales; Vibrionaceae
Description: bacterial SSU rRNA
Rfam family: Bacterial small subunit ribosomal RNA
Source: RNAcentral
GGCGUCGAGCGGCGGACGGGUGAGUAAUGCCUAGGAAAUUGCCCUGAUGUGGGGGAUAACCAUUGGAAACGAUGGCUAAUACCGCAUGAUGCCUACGGGCCAAAGAGGGGGACCUUCGGGCCUCUCGCGUCAGGAUAUGCCUAGGUGGGAUUAGCUAGUUGGUGAGGUAAGGGCUCACCAAGGCGACGAUCCCUAGCUGGUCUGAGAGGAUGAUCAGCCACACUGGAACUGAGACACGGUCCAGACUCCUACGGGAGGCAGCAGUGGGGAAUAUUGCACAAUGGGCGCAAGCCUGAUGCAGCCAUGCCGCGUGUGUGAAGAAGGCCUUCGGGUUGUAAAGCACUUUCAGUCGUGAGGAAGGUAGUGUAGUUAAUAGCUGCAUUAUUUGACGUUAGCGACAGAAGAAGCACCGGCUAACUCCGUGCCAGCAGCCGCGGUAAUACGGAGGGUGCGAGCGUUAAUCGGAAUUACUGGGCGUAAAGCGCAUGCAGGUGGUUUGUUAAGUCAGAUGUGAAAGCCCGGGGCUCAACCUCGGAAUUGCAUUUGAAACUGGCAGACUAGAGUACUGUAGAGGGGGGUAGAAUUUCAGGUGUAGCGGUGAAAUGCGUAGAGAUCUGAAGGAAUACCGGUGGCGAAGGCGGCCCCCUGGACAGAUACUGACACUCAGAUGCGAAAGCGUGGGGAGCAAACAGGAUUAGAUACCCUGGUAGUCCACGCCGUAAACGAUGUCUACUUGGAGGUUGUGGCCUUGAGCCGUGGCUUUCGGAGCUAACGCGUUAAGUAGACCGCCUGGGGAGUACGGUCGCAAGAUUAAAACUCAAAUGAAUUGACGGGGGCCCGCACAAGCGGUGGAGCAUGUGGUUUAAUUCGAUGCAACGCGAAGAACCUUACCUACUCUUGACAUCCAGAGAACUUUCCAGAGAUGGAUUGGUGCCUUCGGGAACUCUGAGACAGGUGCUGCAUGGCUGUCGUCAGCUCGUGUUGUGAAAUGUUGGGUUAAGUCCCGCAACGAGCGCAACCCU